Molecule: long non-coding RNA, 5419 nt
Organism: Drosophila simulans
Lineage: Eukaryota; Metazoa; Arthropoda; Insecta; Diptera; Drosophilidae
Exons: 2
Source: RefSeq, a predicted model, not a curated record
AAAUGCGCAUGUGACACGCAACUACAGUAAAAAUCCAGCGUGUCAGAAUUAUCUACCAAGCCCAAUAACUUGAUGACAAUAUUAAUUCGCCUAACUUAACACACAUUUUAUGACAAAAACUAUAGAUAGAUCCAGGUGUGAAUGCACCAAAUACUAGAUUAGUUUAAAAUUAAGUAACAGGUAGAAUGAACAGGUCCUGACCUAAUAUUCUUGAUCAGGAUAAAAAGCUGAAUAACUGGCCGUAUCCGUAUAUGAUCUAGAAGUUUGAUUUUAAGUACGUAGUAUUUUAGAAUGCCGAAUUUGUUCAAGUUCGUUUCGGAAGAUUUCACUCCUACUCUUAAGAACACAAAACCCCAAAAAGGUUUUUAGUUUGUUGAAUUUUGUCAAUAAGCCAAAAAGAAUUUGGUCACCGAGGAAUAUCAAUAGAAAUUGGGGAAUAAAAUGAAACAAACUUUUAAAAGUGUGGGCGUGACAGUGUUGGGCGGUUUGUGGGUCUUAGAGUGCCCGUUGAAAUCGAUGGACGAUGUUGCAUAGCAACAUUUCGAAUCUUCCUUUCUAAGCCCACGGACUGCGGACAGACAGACUUCGCCAGAUCAACUCGACUAUUGAUCCUGAACAGAAAUAUAUGUAUAUAGUAUUAUGGUAAAAACGCGUUCUUCAACAUGUUACAUACAUUUCAAAGAACUUAUUAUAACUCGUGACCAUAAAGGGCUUGGUUAUUGGAUGAAAUGAAUGUCAACUUCUUGUAAAAAGACCGAUUUAACCCUAUAAAAUACACCCAGUUGUGUAGCCAUUUCACUCAGAUCGCGAUCAAAGCGUUCUUGGUUUGCGAAUGACAACAGAUAGGCUUUUAUUGAUUUGGAAAAAAGUUUUUCUCGAUUUUGAGAUGAAGAUAUUUUGCUUCGAAAUAAUUGGAUUUCGGAAACCCCAAAUACAUUUGGGAUAGGAUAGUUGACUUCCGCGUCUAUCAGAUACCGCUUACUGAGGAAAGAUAGAUAGAGGGUUACAGAUGGCGAGAGCCGUACAGCGAGACGGCACGAUUGAGGACAGGGCAGCAGGAAAACGAAGAACGUGUUUGUGCCCAAUUCAAGAAAGCAAUGGUACAAAGAUAGACAUUGACCUGCACAAACGGUAAAACCGGUAAAUCUGGAGAUUGGAGACGCCGAGGAUUAACUGUUAAAGGGAUAUAGUAUGUAAGCAUUUCGAGGCAGCUAUCAUUCCGCUCACUUGAAAUGCAGAACGCGGAUGUGUACAAUCGAGACCAAACCGUGGCAUUGACCCAGCGAGUCCAAUCCUAAUAUAAACCAGUGCGCGUGCCAGGAUUGUGCAGAAUGGACAGAUUUUGUACUUACACCAUUUCAAGAAAGAGAAUUUCGAAUUUGUCGUACAGAGACAGCGCAUAUCGCAGCCGGCUAAAUUAGAAACCAUGCAAAUGACAUUAUCUGAAUACUAUACUGUGGCGAGUUCAUACAGACAGACAGAACCUCUGAAAGGAGUUUUUAAAUGGUAUUCUUCCACGACUUACCUUAUUUAAUAAAGAACCAUUUAGAAUUCUUAUUAACGCAUCUCAACUGUUCGAUUAUUUAUAAUAGCACCGCUUUGGAUAUAGAAGGCUAAGUGAUUUUAGACUCAGUAAAUAGUAGUAUAUAAUAAUUAUAAUUUGUAUAAUAGUUUUGAGAAAAUUGGAGAAACUACGUCCACUUCAAAUGCAUUUUAAAGUAAAUAUGCUAUUGACUGUUUUUAAUGCUUUAUUUGCUGCUAUGAUUAAAUUAUUUUAAUAAUAUUUUAACAGGUAUAUAACAAAUAUGUAAUUUCAAGGUGGGUUGUAUUUUCGAUUUUUCGUUUUUUAAACUCAGUUUAAGUUAUCAAUUAUGUGUAUACUUUUUUAAUUCUUUCUUCUCUCUUACUUUCUCAUUAUUUGUGUUCUCGCAGUUGACGCUUAUUCCGGCAAUGGUUGGCUAAUUUUUUAUAGUUACUUUUAAAAAUGGUUUAUUUUCUGGUUUAUUGUGCUAAUGCAAUCUUUCUCUAUUCAAAUAACCUACAUGUCUAUUAUACGGCACCGUAUGCGAGUAAAGAAUAUUAAUUUAAUAAUAUUAAUUAUUAUAUUGAACUUUUUUCUGCAUUUUUUUAAAUUUAAAAACAGCGUAACAAUCAUUUUUCUUGAUUUUUGUUUAACUAUUUAAUGUUACCAUUUAACAAUUCGAUCGUAUUAUAUACAUUUUCAUAAAUUAAAUGAUUUUCUUUAUAUUUCUUUAUAUAUUCUUGCGAAUAUAUUUCGAUAGCCAUAUCCAACUUUCUUAUCGCAUAACAUGUAUAACUCAACACCGGUACCGUUUCCGAUUUCCUUUUAGGAUACCAAGAUCUCAUUCAAAAACAAAACUUUUUACGAUUUAUUAAAUACUUUUUUAUUAAAAAAUAAAAUUUUUGCCGAAAUCGAAUAUCAAAAUCAAUAAUUUCAAUAAGGCAUUACAACUUAUAAUAGUUAAUUAAACAUUUGAUAAAAAUAAUCUACCACGUAACUCUUUUUAAACUCAUUUAUAAAAUUUUAACUGUAUUAGGACUAAAAUAUGAGAGAUUGUUUUCUCAAGAUUUUAAGCAAAUGAUACUCCGGAAAAUACAUGUAAAAUCAUUCCAAAGAAAGUACUUGAAAAUUACACUUGGUCAUGUUUUUUAAUGGUUUGUUCUUAUCACCCUUUAUGCUUCAAUAAAAUAAAGUGAUGGAAAAGAAAAAAUGUACUUUUUAACUUUAAGGACUUUUCCAUCAAAAAGAGGUACUCCUUUGUGCAACAAUGUUUUUAACAGGAUUUUUUGAACAAAUGUACAAUCGUUUAUAAUAUUUUGUAUAAUAAUAAUGUCUUUACAAAAAAUAUAUAUAUUAUAUAUAUGCUAUAAGUAUUAUAUAUAUAUAAUAUAUAUGUAUUAAGCACGUACAAAACUAUUGCUCUUAUCAGAACAAAUACUUCAUUAUAGUUUUAUGGCUGUUUCGAAAGUUAAAAUUUUUGUAAACAAUAUAACAUUAAUUUGUGCAGAUUUAAAUUAUUUUCGUUUUUACAUUAUUCUGGCAUGACAUUGCUAUAAAAGCAACUAUAAAUAAACUAAUGUAUGUAUGUAUCUACAUCCAUCAAUGUACGGUGUUCUCCGGUAUAUCUACUGGUGUUAAUUAAACGUUAUUAAGGAAUUCGUAUUGAAUUUACUCAGGUUUUAAGCGAUGCCAUUGUACUACAGUUUGUCUGGGCUUUGAGAUCAUAUCCUGCCAAUGUUUUGUUUCUGAUGCUCCAGAACCGUUUUUUCCUUUGAUUGCAUUAAAACAAAAAAAUCAUUUUAUUAAAGGUAAGCUUAUAUUGAACUGUAGAGAUGUUAUUUUUAUUUUUACCAGCUAAUAAUAUUCGUCCUAUUAACUCGUUCCUUCCAAUGUUAUCAAAAUCCAUCACCAUAACAUCCAAAGAACAUUCUCUUAUUUUUUCCCAUGGUACGUUAAAACUAAACGAUUCAUUAAAUACUGGAUUUAAUGUACACGUAAAUAUAGGCGUUUUUCUUUUUUCUACCCUUUUAUCGCCAAACUGUAGCCAAACCUUUACGUAGGGAUCUACAAGAAAAAAGAUAUUAAAUUUUAAUUUACUGGUGGAAAGUCUUUUAUGUCAAAAACACAUUGAAAUUGUUUUUAAAACCCUAAGUCUUGUAUUGUCGGAACAAUUGCGACUAUAAUAUAAUCAAAACAAAGGGAAUGAAAAAUAUAAUGUGAUUUUCCUAUCAUAACAAAUCAAACUGUAAUACAAAAAAAAAUUUAAGUUGUAAAAAUGAACAUUUAAGAGAACCACAAAGUGGUGACGCUUUUCCGUCCUUUUGAAUUAAAUGACACCUUAUCUUAUGAUCUAAAGUCUUUGAAUUCGGUAUAUAAGAUUCGGCAAUCGCCCAAUACUUAUGUAUGUAAAUCUUGACAAAUAUGUAUAAAAAUAAAAUAAAAAUAUAAUGCGACGGAAAUAAGUUUGUGAAAAACCACCAAAAAGUAUAUAUUUUUAUUAAAACUGAGCCCAGUCAAGUAUUGUGAAUAAGUGCUGGACUACAGCUUCCCAAUCCUUAUAUCAUUCAGAAUGUUUAUUAUAGUCAGCAUUUUGUGUUCUUAUCAACGUUUUUAUGAUUCUGUGUAAACGGCCUUGACAAAACUGAUUUCCAUCUAUAUACCCUUGCAGGACAUUCAGACGAUAAUUUUAAGUAAGAAGGAAAAAUUUUAAAACAUAGGGCCGAUGAUGUCAAGAUUUUUGAAAAUUUUUCAAAAUGAAAAAUUUUGUUUUUUGCAACAAAAAGUUACUAUAAAAUCAUAAAUGUUUUUGUUAAGUUUGCAUUAACUUUUAUGAUAAUAAAUGAUAUUGAACCAUAUAAAUAUAAAAUAUAAAAGGUUUUGAUAGAAAAUAGCCCGGCUAUUAUAUGAAUAGGAAAUAUUUUUUAAGCCGUGUCGAAUGAUUUUAUAGAACAGGUGGAGCCACUUUGUGUUUAUUAUAUGUGUGUCUUGCUGUAGCUUGCUGAUUUAUAUCGAUUAACAUGCUGAUUUUUAGCUUCGUUUUUGAUUCAGAUAAAUAGCCGAGAUUGGAAGAUUUUUUUAAGAUGGGAGUAAAAAUAACUCAAUGAAUGAAUGAAAUGAAAAAAUUCAAAACAUUUUUUAACCGCUAGGCAGUUUUAGACGCUUUGUUGCGUCUCCGGAAUAAUAUGGUUAAGCUCAACUUUCUAGUUCCAGAGUUCUUGACGUCCAUGAGCAAUGAGAGGCAGACUGACAUAGCCAAAUCGACUCAAUUGCGAUCCUGAUCCUCCAACCUGCUACAUACAUUUCAACGAAUCUAGUUACUAUUUCUAUAGGAGCUACAGGGUUAAAUUAAAUCCUGAUUGAAAUAUUAAAAAAUUAUUUUCUGUUAUACACUUGUGUUCCUGCUUACCAGAUUUUCCGUUGAUAUCUUUGGCUUUUAAAUUUCUCGCUUUAAUUAGUGUUAAAGUCAAAAUUGAGUUCGACGGGUGAUAGCAAAGGGAAGAGAGAAGUUCUCCGCAUUUAUCCUUUGCAGGGGGCUUUAAAGCCUUCCAAAAAGAUUGUUUUCCAGCAAAGUCAACCUUAUUAAAUAAACAAUUAAAUAAACAAUAUAAAUUUUAAGAAAUACGUCUUAAAUUAAUUAUUUACCUGACAUAAAGGAAGAAAUACUUCCCCUAUGGAGUCAUCUCUUGAAAACCGAUCGUAAUCAAAAACAUGUAAGUGUAAAACCUUCAAUUGUCCAUAUAAAAAUACAAUAAAAUUUAAAUUGUAAUUUAAAUUUAAUUUAAAACCUUAUAAAUAUAACUGUAUCUUUGUUUAUAACUGUCAAGUACACAAAAAGAAUCGGAAUGACGCUACCGAACGAAACUAUAUAAUCAUCGUCGGUCGCUAGACGAAACAAAA